Molecule: ribosomal RNA, 200 nt
Filed under: uncultured eukaryote
Lineage: Eukaryota
Description: partial 18S ribosomal RNA
Rfam family: Eukaryotic small subunit ribosomal RNA
Source: RNAcentral
GCUCCAAUAGCGUAUAUUAAAGUUGUUGCAGUUAAAAAGCUCGUAGUUGGAUUUCUGGUGGGGCUGUCGGCCUGGCUCCGAAAGGGGUCGUGGUUAGUACACGCCUGGCCAUCCUCGGGGGAAGCUUUGCUGGCAUUAAGUUGUCGGCGGAGUGACGCUCGUCGUUUACUGUGAACAAUUAGAGUGUUCAAAGCAGGCUU